Molecule: long non-coding RNA, 1653 nt
Filed under: Neodiprion lecontei (redheaded pine sawfly)
Lineage: Eukaryota; Metazoa; Arthropoda; Insecta; Hymenoptera; Diprionidae
Description: uncharacterized LOC124292691
Source: RNAcentral
CAGGUCCUUGACCUGGUAACGUUCGACCUUCAGGACUAAUUUUCCGUAGAUUUGGCUGUUGAGAUCCUCCACCUGAUGUUACUCGACUUCAGGACUAAUUUUCCGUAGUUCUAUCUGUCCAGGUCCUCCACCUGAUGGAUCUUGACAUCCAGGAGAAGCGCUCCGUAGUUCUGGCUGUCCCGGUCCUUGACCUGUAUUCGAGGUAUAACCCGAGGUGGUCAGCGGUGGUCGUUGGUGGUGGUUGGAGGUAGUCGAGCUGGACGAGGAGAACAAGGUGGACAAGGAGGAUGAGGAUUUGUGCUCGGUAACUCUGCACAUACCUUCGAUCUGUUCGCUAUAUUGGUACACGACGAGUGAACCUCGUUUCGUGGGCUCCAUCCGAUUGGACUCAGCAACACGAAUUCGUCGCCUAAUUCUCGAAAGUGCAAUAACAAAAAUUAAACGUGAAAUAGUUGUAGCUAUUAUGAGAAAGGAUAAGUUAGGUUAAGGAUCUCUGGAUAGGUGCACUCUGGUUUAAUGACAUGAAACUGCAUAUUGAAGCGUUCGCUGAAACUGUACUUAUGACUAACUCCUUGAAUGCGGGAGGAUUACAAUACAAGGAGUCGUUUGGACAGCAUUGCAGCGCUGCGACAUUCUUGAAUAACGAACGAAGUACAUCGGAUAACCAUCGGAAAUACAACUUGUUUAAAUUCUUCCUGAUACCUGCUUCCACAACUGACACAUAAUUCAUAUCUAUUCUAAUGCUCGAUACAAAGCAUUGAUUCUGCAAGCUAUUGAAUCGUGUUAUAUGAGAUUAGAUAAGUCGGAACGCAUGAUGGAUGAUCAAAAAUGAUAACACAAAAUAAUAUGCACGUGAAAAAACACACAGGCCUCACUAGCAUACAGUGAGAAUAUGUACGUCCGACUCCUUAGCUGUGGGUCCUACGAUGUUCUGGAUGCCGUGAUUUUGACGAUUCUGAAUGAUGUUGGAAUCAAUUCUUGAAUGCAUUAUUUCGACGCAAUUUUGCGAAAGGAAUCGUUUGGGCGCGGUCCAAGUACGCUGCGCCCAAGAAAUUCAGAAUUGCAGCCGAAAGCAUCCGAUUCCUACCGAGUUUUCAGAUGGAUGGGAAAGGAAAAUUAUGAAUUCACAGUGACAAAGUUUUUGUUUCAGUUCAGUUACAGUUUAUUCAAUGUGCCUUAAAUCUAAUACAAGUGUUCGCGUGACAGUGUACGGUACUUCAACAGGUUGCCUAAUAGUAGUUAUUAUAAAGUUGAAGACACAGAGAAUAUGAGGAAAGAGAAGUACAAUAUAAGUUGCUUUGAGCAGAAUGCGUGAAUGGUUAUAUGGGUGUGAGGUAUAUGUUGUAAAGUUCAAGUUCUGAGCUAUACACGUGUGCAAUGUACAUACCUCUAAAGAAUACGAUACGAAUAAUAUUGGUAUAUAAUAAUUUUACUACUGCAUGUAACCUGUACUAAAAUCAAUAAAUUAAUAAAUUUCCCUGUAUCCUUUAUGCCUUUUUUCUGCUGUUGUUUCUACGGUAUUUCUAGUGUAUUUUCGGCGUUGCUGGGUGUACAAUUGAUUGGAACACGGACAUACAAAUGAAUUGCGAAGCAAACGAUUUUUUGCUAAAACAGUGACCCCUUUGCAUUUUUUGCGAAAAUUUUCGCGAUUUC